UUACUGACUCAUCAAAUUUAUUUUACUUGCUUGACUUCGUGUGGAAUUGGUUUGAAAAAUAAAAAUCAUUAUUGGUGUAACCUUCGAAGAAAUAAGGUGUUUAAAGUGUUUUAUUUGAACGGAAGAAAGUUUGAGCAACAUAACUCGGGCGAGCGGUUUAUUGAAUAUUUCAACGAUAAGGUGGUAUUGGCAAAACAACUAUAGCUGGGAGAAGAGGAGUUGGUCGAAUACAUAAUCGACGGCAUACCUGAUUAUUGGCUACGCAACCAAGCGUAUAUGCAGUGCUACACAACAAAGGCACAAUCACUCCAAGCAUUUUCCAAAAUUGAAACUGGGCCAAAACCGAUUGCGCCGGCUCAGUCGCAGAUUCAAGAAAGAAGAUGUUACAACUGCAGCAGUCUCGGACACCUAGCAGCAGAAUGCCGUAAACCAAAGCGAGAGAUGGGUACGUGUUAUGGGUGUGGCAGUCGAAAUCAUCAAAUUGCAACAUGUCCAGAGAAGAAAACUGUCCACGCAGUUAAUGAAUAUAAUGUCUGAUCGACUCGGGUAUCCCAAUCAGCUUCAUAAAAAAAUCUUGCGUUGCAGAAAAUUUCAAAUUGGAGUUUUUAUCAAAUGUGAAUUCUUUUUAUUUUGGUUUAAAUAAUACGAGAAUUGUAACUUAUGGAAAGUUUUUGUGUUGUAUUAAAAUAAAUAAUGAAUUAUUUGAAUUAAA
Long non-coding RNA from Bactrocera tryoni, 712 nucleotides. RefSeq lists it as uncharacterized. The record is from RefSeq and is a predicted model, not a curated record. Lineage: Eukaryota; Metazoa; Arthropoda; Insecta; Diptera; Tephritidae. The transcript has 2 exons.